GAUGAAGAACGUAGCGAAAUGCGAUAAGUAAUGUGAAUUGCAGAAUUCAGUGAAUCAUCGAAUCUUUGAACGCACCUUGCGCCCUUUGGCUAUUCCGAAGGGCAUGCCUGUUUGAGUAUCAUGAACACCUCAACUCUCAUGGGUUUGCCAUGAUGAGCUUGGACUUUGGGGGUCUUGCUGGCCUAUGGUCAGCUCCUCUCAAAUGGAUCAGCUUGCCAGUGUUUGGUGGCACCACAGGUGUGAUAACUAUCUACGCUUGUGGCUUUCCACCAGGUAACCUUCAGUGAUGAAGGUUCGCUGGGGCUUAUAAAUGUCUCUCCUCAGGGGAGACGGCUUUUUUGAAUGUUUGAUCUCAAAUCAGGUAGGACUACCCGCUGAACUUAAGCAUAUCAAUAAGCGGAGGA
RNAcentral lists this unclassified non-coding RNA (404 nucleotides) under soil metagenome. Its description in RNAcentral is "partial contains 5.8S ribosomal RNA, internal transcribed spacer 2, and large subunit ribosomal RNA". The stretch from base 1 to 121 matches the Rfam family "5.8S ribosomal RNA", at positions 35 to 154 of the family's 154-position model. The record is from RNAcentral.